GAAGACCCCUAUUCCCCUCAGAGAGCUAUGCAAUUUCCAGAGUGGUUUAACAACCAAUCCCUCUUACCAGAGACCUCUGGGAAUUGUAGCUCUGUGAGGGGAAUAGGGGCCUC
Molecule: non-coding RNA, 113 nt
Organism: Podarcis lilfordi (Lilford's wall lizard)
Lineage: Eukaryota; Metazoa; Chordata; Lepidosauria; Squamata; Lacertidae
Source: the annotation of a GenBank genome assembly